GGGCGGGUAGCUCAGCUUGGUUAGAGCACUAGCUCGACACGCUAGGGGUCGCUGGUUCGAGUCCAGUUCCGCCCA
This 75-nucleotide transfer RNA is filed under the name bacterium. RNAcentral's name for it is "tRNA-Val". It matches the Rfam family "tRNA". Rfam says of the family: Transfer RNA (tRNA) molecules are approximately 80 nucleotides in length. Their secondary structure includes four short double-helical elements and three loops (D, anti-codon, and T loops). Further hydrogen bonds mediate the characteristic L-shaped molecular structure. tRNAs have two regions of fundamental functional importance: the anti-codon, which is responsible for specific mRNA codon recognition, and the 3' end, to which the tRNAs corresponding amino acid is attached (by aminoacyl-tRNA synthetases). tRNAs cope with the degeneracy of the genetic code in two manners: having more than one tRNA (with a specific anti-codon) for a particular amino acid; and 'wobble' base-pairing, i.e. permitting non-standard base-pairing at the 3rd anti-codon position. The record is from RNAcentral.